This 408-nucleotide ribosomal RNA is filed under the name uncultured bacterium. RNAcentral describes it as "partial 16S ribosomal RNA". It matches the Rfam family "Bacterial small subunit ribosomal RNA", at positions 28 to 526 of the family's 1533-position model. The record is from RNAcentral.
GACGAACGCUGGCGGCGUGCUUAACACAUGCAAGUCGAACGGAGUGGCGAACGGGUGAGUCACACGUGGGUGACCUGCCCUGCACUUCGGGAUAAGCCUGGGAAACUGGGUCUAAUACCGGAUAGUGUGGGAUGGGCCCGCGGCCUAUGAGCUUGUUGGUGGGGUAAUGGCAUACCAAGGCGGGGCCGGGUAGCCGGCCUGAGAGGGUGGACGGCCACAUUGGGACUGAGACAGGGCCCAGACUCCUACGGGAGGCAGCAGGGGGGAAGAUUGCACAAUGGGCGGAAGCCUGAGGCAGCGACCCCGCGGGGGGGAUGACGGCCUUCGGGUUGUAAACUCCUUUCACCAUCGAAGCGUUACCCGCAGAAGAAGCACCGGCUAACUCCGUGCCAGCAGCCGCGGUAAUUC